This 210-nucleotide long non-coding RNA is filed under the name Elaeis guineensis (African oil palm). RNAcentral describes it as "long non-coding RNA (EGUI_LNC070039)". The record is from RNAcentral. Lineage: Eukaryota; Viridiplantae; Streptophyta; Magnoliopsida; Arecales; Arecaceae.
ACAUAUAAUAAUCUUAUUUAUGAUUUUAAGAUUUGAUCUUAUACAUGCUUAGAUUAAAUUAGAUUUAAUCUAAAAUUUUUAAAUUUCACUGCAUACUUGUUUUGAAAAAUUUUGCAUGUAUGAAAUCAUGAACUCUCACAACUUUUUCCGUAAGCAUACCCAUGUACCUUUCAGAAGGUCGGGAGACCUUGCUAGAUCAAAAAGGUGAUG